CUACCACAUCCAAGGAUGGCAGCAGGCGCGCAAAUUACCCAAUCCCGACACGGGGAGGUAGUGACAAUAAAUAACAAUACGGGGUUCUUUCGGAUCUCGUAAUUGGAAUGAGUACAAUNUAAAUCUCUUAACGAGGAACAAUUGGAGGGCAAGUCUGGUGCCAGCAGCCGCGGUAAUUCCAGCUCCAAUAGCGUAUAUAAAAGUCGUUGCAGUUAAAAAGCUCGUAGUUGAAUUUCGGGAUCAAAUUGUCGGUCGUGCCUCGGUACGCACUGGCGCUAUNGGUUCCUCCCUUCUGAAGAACCGCGAUGUCAUAAAUUUGGUGUCACGGGGAAUCAGGACUGUUACUUUGAAAAAAUUAGAGUGUUUAAAGCAGGCUCGCGCUUGAAUACAUNAGCAUGGAAUAAUGAAAUAGGUCGUUUGAUUCUAUUUUGUCGGUUCCUAGGAUCGACGUAAUGAUUAAUAGGGAUANGUGGGGGCAUUAGUAUUCAAUUGUCAGAGGUGAAAUUCUUGGAUUAAUUGAAGACUANCUACUGCGAAAGCAUUUGCCAGGGAUGUUUCAUUAAUUCAGGACGAAAGUAGGGGAUCGAAGACGAAUAGAUACCGUCGUAGUCUUACCCAUAACAAGCCCAAUUAGAUAUCGAUUAAUGUAAUUUUUUAAUGACUCAUUCGCCCCUUACGGGAAACCAAAGUGUUUGGUUCCGCGGAAUAAUGUUCCCAAGCCUGAAACUUAAAGAAAUGAACGAAGGGCCACCACCAGGGUUGGAGCUUCCGGCUUAAUUGACUCAACACGGGGAACUCACCAGGUCCAGACAUAGUAAGAAUGACCAGAUUGAGAGCUCUUUCUUGAUUCUAUGGUGUUUGGUGCAUGCCCGUUCUUAGUUGGUGGAGUGAUUUGUCUGGUUAAUUCCGUUAACGAACGAGACCUUAACCUGCUAAAUAGCUAGGCUUAGCUUCGGUUAGGCCGUCAGCUUCUUAGAGGGACUAUCGGUGUUUAACCGAUGGAAGUUUGAGGCAAUAACAGGUCUGUGAUGCCCUUAGAUGUUCUGCGCCGCACGCGCGCUACACUGAUGAAGUCAACGAGUUCUUAUCAUUUAUCGGAAGAUAUGGGUAAUCUUUUGAAACUUCAUCGUGCUGGGGAUAGAGCUUUGCAAUUAUUGCUCUUAAACGAGGAAUCCCUAGUAAGCACAAGUCAUCAGCUUGUGCUGAUUACGU
RNAcentral lists this ribosomal RNA (1212 nucleotides) under uncultured Glomus. RNAcentral describes it as "SSU rRNA". It matches the Rfam family "Eukaryotic small subunit ribosomal RNA", at positions 407 to 1650 of the family's 1831-position model. The record is from RNAcentral. Lineage: Eukaryota; Fungi; Glomeromycota; Glomeromycetes; Glomerales; Glomeraceae.